This 425-nucleotide ribosomal RNA is filed under the name Travisia sp. 12-1 PB. Its description in RNAcentral is "partial 16S ribosomal RNA". It matches the Rfam family "Bacterial large subunit ribosomal RNA", at positions 1958 to 2592 of the family's 2925-position model. Lineage: Eukaryota; Metazoa; Annelida; Polychaeta; Opheliidae. The record is from RNAcentral.
AGCAUAAUCACUUGCCUUUUAAUUGAAGGCUAGUAUGAAUGGACAAACGAGGGCCAUACGUGUCUCUAAAAUACUUAAUAAAAAUUAUCUUUUAGGUGAAGAGACCUAAAUACGAAAAAAGGACAAGAAGACCCUGUUGAGCUUUAUUAAUAUAAUUAGGCCUGACAACUUUAAGCAUCUACUAUCCUAAUAUAUAAAAUUCAGUUGGGGCGACUAAGGAACAAUAAAAACUUCCCUACUCACUUUAGACCUUCUAGUCUUCAUCUGAUCCAAAUUUAUUGACCAAAGAAUUGAGCUACCACAGGGAUAACAGGCUAAUCCUCCUUAAGAGCCCAUAUUGACAGGAGGGAUUGGCACCUCGAUGUUGGCUUAGGGCCCCCAAGAAGCGCAGCCGCUUCUAAAGGUAGGUUUGUUCAACCUUUAAU